UACGGGAGGCAGCAGUGGGGAAUAUUGCACAAUGGGCGCAAGCCUGAUGCAGCCAUGCCGCGUGUAUGAAGAAGGCCUUCGGGUUGUAAAGUACUUUCAGUCGUGAGGAAGGUGUUAAGGUUAAUAACCUUAGCAAUUGACGUUAGCGACAGAAGAAGCACCGGCUAACUCCGUGCCAGCAGCCGCGGUAAUACGGAGGGUGCGAGCGUUAAUCGGAAUUACUGGGCGUAAAGGGCACGCAGGCGGUUAAUUAAGUUGGAUGUGAAAUCCCCGGGCUUAACCUGGGAAUGGCAUUCAAGACUGGUUAGCUAGAGUCUUGUAGAGGGGGUAGAAUUCCAUGUGUAGCGGUGAAAUGCGUAGAGAUGUGGAGGAAUACCGGUGGGCGGAAGGCGGCCCCUGGGACAAAGGACUGACGCUCAUGUGCGAAAGCGUGGGGAGCAAACAGGGAUUAGAUACC
This 457-nucleotide ribosomal RNA is filed under the name uncultured bacterium. Its description in RNAcentral is "bacterial SSU rRNA". It matches the Rfam family "Bacterial small subunit ribosomal RNA", at positions 340 to 786 of the family's 1533-position model. The record is from RNAcentral.